Long non-coding RNA from Salvelinus sp. IW2-2015, 276 nucleotides. RefSeq lists it as uncharacterized. NCBI's taxonomy places the organism in Eukaryota, Metazoa, Chordata, Actinopteri, Salmoniformes, Salmonidae. The record is from RefSeq and is a predicted model, not a curated record.
GGCAGAUAGUUCUACAUCUGGAAAUUAGUCAAUUCAUUAUCAUUCUAUUGUGGAAAGAAAGUAACAGGACUCCUCUUCGCGGUGAACAUAGUUCUAUUUCCAAAGGUAUUUCCAGGUAGCGGUAGCAUUAAAAGGUGACAUGUAUUGGAAGAUUUUGACAGCAGUUCUCUGCUUCUAUGCAGUUGUCCCUGUCCGAGUGUCUCCAACAACAGCAGCUCCCAUCACAACUAUAGAUGCCCUUUCAACAAGCACAGCUGCCAACACUACAACCACAGC